AUGAAGAAUAAUUAGUGGCAGACGGGUGAGUAAUGCAUAGGAAUCUACCUAGUAGUAUGGGAUAGCCACUAGAAAUGGUGGGUAAUACUGUAUAAUCCCUGCGGGGGAAAGAUUUAUCGCUAUUAGAUGAGCCUAUGUUAGAUUAGCUAGUUGGUAGGGUAAAGGCCUACCAAGGCGAUGAUCUAUAGCUGGUCUGAGAGGAUGAUCAGCCACACUGGAACUGAGAUACGGUCCAGACUCCUACGGGAGGCAGCAGUGGGGAAUAUUGGACAAUGGGCGCAAGCCUGAUCCAGCUAUGCCGCGUGAGUGAGGAAGGCCUUAGGGUUGUAAAACUCUUUCAGUAGGGAAGAUAAUGACGGUACCUACAGAAGAAGUCCCGGCAAACUCCGUGCCAGCAGCCGCGGUAAUACGGAGGGGGCAAGCGUUGUUCGGAAUUAUUGGGCGUAAAGGGCAUGUAGGCGGUUCGG
This 467-nucleotide ribosomal RNA is filed under the name Anaplasma phagocytophilum. RNAcentral describes it as "bacterial SSU rRNA". It matches the Rfam family "Bacterial small subunit ribosomal RNA", at positions 81 to 583 of the family's 1533-position model. Lineage: Bacteria; Pseudomonadati; Pseudomonadota; Alphaproteobacteria; Rickettsiales; Anaplasmataceae. The record is from RNAcentral.